AUCCUAACAAAACUCUCUCCUAAACAUGAAGGUUUCUUCUAGCUUUCAUUCUUCUCCCAUAUCCCGACUUUUCAAGUGCAUUAUCUCAACCGAACUUGCUCCUUACACUAACAAUAGGGUUCUUCCUUCGUGAUAGACUUGUUUUUCACCUUAGCAGACUUUUUUCUAACCUUGGCCAACUUAUUAAUCAUGACCGACUUCUUCUUGACCAUGAUGAAGAUCAACUUCUCAGUAACUGAGUUCCUUUCUACAUCUACAUCUUCAUGUUUCUCAUUCGUCAAGAUACCUUUAGCCUUGGCAUAACCCUAACCCUAAUCAAUGCUCUAACCAUCGCUCUAACCCUAACCCUCACCAUCACACUCGCCCUAACCCCAACCCUACAUCCAACUAGACAUCUAAUAUUUCAAGAUGGACUUGCACUUUCCACUUCAGGUAUGCAAGGAUCUGACAAGUGUAGCAUAUGAUCAAUCUCAUGAUGGACUUGCCGGAUCAUGUGAAGUGGGAUCAACACUCAACGGGUUGCAACAGUGUAAUCCAUGCUUGUUUUCCA
RNAcentral lists this small RNA (550 nucleotides) under Vigna angularis var. angularis. RNAcentral describes it as "Non-protein coding transcript". Lineage: Eukaryota; Viridiplantae; Streptophyta; Magnoliopsida; Fabales; Fabaceae. The record is from RNAcentral.